Molecule: transfer RNA, 78 nt
Filed under: Cladophialophora bantiana CBS 173.52
Lineage: Eukaryota; Fungi; Ascomycota; Eurotiomycetes; Chaetothyriales; Herpotrichiellaceae
Description: tRNA-Arg (ACG) (tRNA-Arg-ACG-2-1)
Rfam family: tRNA
About the family: Transfer RNA (tRNA) molecules are approximately 80 nucleotides in length.
Source: RNAcentral
GGUCGCUUAGCUCAGUUGGUUAGAGCGUAAGUUGGGCCACGCACGCCAAGGUCGCGAGUUCGACCCUCGUAGUGACCA